RNAcentral lists this ribosomal RNA (474 nucleotides) under uncultured organism. RNAcentral's name for it is "partial 16S ribosomal RNA". It matches the Rfam family "Bacterial small subunit ribosomal RNA", at positions 332 to 797 of the family's 1533-position model. The record is from RNAcentral.
UACACUCCUGCGGGAGGCAGCAGUAGGGAAUCUUCGGCAAUGGGGGCAACCCUGACCGAGCAACGCCGCGUGAGUGAAGAAGGUUUUCGGAUCGUAAAGCUCUGUUGUAAGUCAAGAACGAGUGUGAGAGUGGAAAGUUCACACUGUGACGGUAGCUUACCAGAAAGGGACGGCUAACUACGUGCCAGCAGCCGCGGUAAUACGUAGGUCCCGAGCGUUGUCCGGAUUUAUUGGGCGUAAAGCGAGCGCAGGCGGUUUGAUAAGUCUGAAGUUAAAGGCUGUGGCUCAACCAUAGUUCGCGUUGGAAACUGUCAAACUUGAGUGCAGAAGGGGAGAGUGGAAUUCCAUGUGUAGCGGUGAAAUGCGUAGAUAUAUGGAGGAACACCGGUGGCGAAAGCGGCUCUCUGGUCUGUAACUGACGCUGAGGCUCGAAAGCGUGGGGAGCGAACAGGAUUAGAUACCCGGGUAGUCCCA